Molecule: ribosomal RNA, 681 nt
Filed under: Arthrobacter sp.
Lineage: Bacteria; Bacillati; Actinomycetota; Actinomycetes; Micrococcales; Micrococcaceae
Description: bacterial SSU rRNA
Rfam family: Bacterial small subunit ribosomal RNA
Source: RNAcentral
UACACAUGCAGUCGAACGAUGAACCCCGCUUGCGGGGGGAUUAGUGGCGAACGGGUGAGUAACACGUGAGUAACCUGCCCUUAACUCUGGGAUAAGCCUUGGAAACGGGGUCUAAUACUGGAUAUUGACUUUUCCUCGCAUGGGGAUUGGUUGAAAGAUUUAUUGGUUUUGGAUGGACUCGCGGCCUAUCAGCUUGUUGGUGAGGUAAUGGCUCACCAAGGCGACGACGGGUAGCCGGCCUGAGAGGGUGACCGGCCACACUGGGACUGAGACACGGCCCAGACUCCUACGGGAGGCAGCAGUGGGGAAUAUUGCACAAUGGGCGAAAGCCUGAUGCAGCGACGCCGCGUGAGGGAUGACGGCCUUCGGGUUGUAAACCUCUUUCAGUAGGGAACAAGGCCAGUGUUUAGCUGGUUGAGGGUACUUGCAGAAGAAGCGCCGGCUAACUACGUGCCAGCAGCCGCGGUAAUACGUAGGGCGCAAGCGUUAUCCGGAAUUAUUGGGCGUAAAGAGCUCGUAGGCGGUUUGUCGCGUCUGCCGUGAAAGUCCGGGGCUCAACCCCGGAUCUGCGGUGGGUACGGGCAGACUAGAGUGAUGUAGGGGAGACUGGAAUUCCUGGUGUAGCGGUGAAAUGCGCAGAUAUCAGGAGGAACACCGAUGGCGAAGGCAGGUCUCUGGGCA